GUCUACAGCCAUGCAACUCUGAACAAGGCCAAUGUCUGAUCUCGGAAGCUAAGCAGGGUCGGGCCUGGUUAGUACUUGGAUGGGAGACCACUUAGGAAAACCAGGUGCUGUAGGCA
Pteropus alecto (black flying fox) is the source of this 116-nucleotide non-coding RNA. The record is from Rfam. Lineage: Eukaryota; Metazoa; Chordata; Mammalia; Chiroptera; Pteropodidae.